UUGGUGUACGUCACAUGUCAAAGGAGGGGAAUGUCAGAUGUUCUAGAGGUGACGCACUCGGCUAGCAAGGAGCUCCGGGUUAAAGACGAUGGUGGCUGACGGUCAUAAUCUGCUCGUUGAGGAGGUCAUCCACCGUCAUGCAUAUUCUUAGCUUCGGAAGAACUUGGUGUUAUUUGAUUUGGUUCCAUUCGAUUUGAUUUGGUAGUUAUGUUGGUGUUAAAUAAUCGGUCACAUCAUUUGUUUGGCAGGUCUUUACUCCAAUGGAGUCAUUGCCAAUUGAAGUAGGAGAGAAAGAAAAAAAUACAUAAUUGCAUAUCUGGGCUUAGUUACAAUGAUUCCAUGUGUUCUUGAUCUUCAGAUAUGACUUACUUCUAUAUAUACUUUUCUUGGUGGUGGAACAUAACUAGAAC
This 410-nucleotide long non-coding RNA is filed under the name Hordeum vulgare. RNAcentral describes it as "long non-coding RNA (HVUL_LNC016816)". The record is from RNAcentral. Lineage: Eukaryota; Viridiplantae; Streptophyta; Magnoliopsida; Poales; Poaceae.